AGUCACAUCUCCCCUCGUGAUUUACUCACAACAAAAAGGCAGCCGAUUGCAAUCCCUCAAAGCAGCAACGUGGUUUUGUAGUUCAACAUCUGGGUGAUUGGGAUGUUAUGACGUUUUACAAAAAAUUUAUGGGAGAAUCAAGUUAGGAAUAUGUCGAAAUGAAAAUGUAUUCACCAGUAACCAGGUUCAAGUUGUCCAGUUUUUCACUUCUAAUAAAAAUAAUCAUUUUUCCUGCUAGAGUGCAAAUCGAUUCAUUAUUCUCAAAGUCCACAAUCCGCAUUCUCCAAGUGACGGUACCGACGGACGUCUGGACGAGAUCUUGCAAAUAAAAAUGCUGGAAAUUGGAAAACUGACUUUCAUCGGAACGUUCAAAAUGAGUUGUAUUAUCCGAGAUCCAAAUGCGUUACAGAAGGAAAACUUUCAUGACCAGGCGUAGAUCAUCCGCGUUGCGACUGUGUGCUGUAUCCUGCUGACCGGAGGAGAGAACCAACGAAUCAGAUCCCAAUGUUGAUCUGAUUUAAUAAAUAAAUCGGCAACUUAAUUCUUCAUUGGGAGAAAUAGCAGGAGAUGAAGAUCGAAUACCGGAGGAUCUAGGUCACUAGGCACCUUUUCCUUCCGUUGAAUCAUCUCCAC
Molecule: long non-coding RNA, 633 nt
Organism: Daphnia pulicaria
Lineage: Eukaryota; Metazoa; Arthropoda; Branchiopoda; Diplostraca; Daphniidae
Exons: 4
Source: RefSeq, a predicted model, not a curated record